RNAcentral lists this ribosomal RNA (1341 nucleotides) under uncultured bacterium. RNAcentral describes it as "partial 16S ribosomal RNA". It matches the Rfam family "Bacterial small subunit ribosomal RNA", at positions 28 to 1381 of the family's 1533-position model. The record is from RNAcentral.
GACGAACGCUGGCGGCGUGCUUAACACAUGCAAGUCGAACGGUAAGGCUCCAGCUUGCUGGGGUACACGAGUGGCGAACGGGUGAGUAACACGUGGGUGACCUGCCCUGCACUUCGGGAUAAGCCUGGGAAACUGGGUCUAAUACCGGAUAGGACCGCACCGUGAGGGUGUGGUGGAAAGUUUUUUCGGUGUGGGAUGGGCCCGCGGCCUAUCAGCUUGUUGGUGGGGUAAUGGCCUACCAAGGCGGCGACGGGUAGCCGGCCUGAGAGGGUGGACGGCCACAUUGGGACUGAGACACGGCCCAGACUCCUACGGGAGGCAGCAGUGGGGAAUAUUGCACAAUGGGCGGAAGCCUGAUGCAGCGACGCCGCGUGGGGGAUGACGGCCUUCGGGUUGUAAACUCCUUUCACCAUCGACGAAGGGUUUCUGACGGUAGAUGGAGAAGAAGCACCGGCUAACUACGUGCCAGCAGCCGCGGUAAUACGUAGGGUGCGAGCGUUGUCCGGAAUUACUGGGCGUAAAGAGCUCGUAGGUGGUUUGUCGCGUCGUCUGUGAAAUUCCGGGGCUUAACUCCGGGCGUGCAGGCGAUACGGGCAUAACUUGAGUACUGUAGGGGAGACUGGAAUUCCUGGUGUAGCGGUGAAAUGCGCAGAUAUCAGGAGGAACACCGGUGGCGAAGGCGGGUCUCUGGGCAGUAACUGACGCUGAGGAGCGAAAGCAUGGGGAGCGAACAGGAUUAGAUACCCUGGUAGUCCAUGCCGUAAACGGUGGGCGCUAGGUGUGGGUUUCCUUCCACGGGAUCCGUGCCGUAGCUAACGCAUUAAGCGCCCCGCCUGGGGAGUACGGCCGCAAGGCUAAAACUCAAAGGAAUUGACGGGGGCCCGCACAAGCGGCGGAGCAUGUGGAUUAAUUCGAUGCAACGCGAAGAACCUUACCUGGGCUUGACAUAUACAGGAUCGCGCCAGAGAUGGUGUUUCCCUUGUGGCUUGUAUACAGGUGGUGCAUGGUUGUCGUCAGCUCGUGUCGUGAGAUGUUGGGUUAAGUCCCGCAACGAGCGCAACCCUUGUCUUAUGUUGCCAGCACGUUGUGGUGGGGACUCGUAAGAAACUGCCGGGGUUAACUCGGAGGAAGGUGGGGAUGACGUCAAAUCAUCAUGCCCCUUAUGUCCAGGGCUUCACACAUGCUACAAUGGUCGGUACAGUGGGUUGCCAGUCCGUGAGGGCGAGCUAAUCCCGCAAAGCCGGUCUCAGUUCGGAUCGGGGUCUGCAACUCGACCCCGUGAAGUCGGAGUCGCUAGUAAUCGCAGAUCAGUAACGCUGCGGUGAAUACGUUCCCGGGCCU